RNAcentral lists this ribosomal RNA (269 nucleotides) under uncultured bacterium. RNAcentral's name for it is "partial 16S ribosomal RNA". It matches the Rfam family "Bacterial small subunit ribosomal RNA", at positions 335 to 602 of the family's 1533-position model. The record is from RNAcentral.
ACUUCUACGGGAGGCAGCAGUGGGGAAUAUUGGACAAUGGGCGGAAGCCUGAUCCAGCAACGCCGCGUGAGGGAUGACGGCCUUCGGGUUGUAAACCUCUUUCACCGAUGGCGAAGCCGCUUCUUUUUGGGUGGUUGGACGGUAGUCGGAGAAGAAGCACCGGCCAACUACGUGCCAGCAGCCGCGGUAAUACGUAGGGUGCGAGCGUUGUCCGGAAUUAUUGGGCGUAAAGGGCUCGUAGGCGGUCUGUUGCGUCGGGAGUGAAAACA